UCCUACGGGAGGCAGCAGUAGGGAAUCUUUCACAAUGGGCGAAAGCCUGAUGAAGCAACACCGCGUGAAUGAAGAAGGGUUUCGGCUCGUAAAAUUCAGUUGCUAGAGAAGAACGUACCAAGUAGGAAGUGGCUUGGUAGUGACGGUAACUGGUUAGAAAGUCGGCUAACUACGUGCCAGCAGCCGCGGUAAUA
This 194-nucleotide ribosomal RNA is filed under the name uncultured Lactobacillus sp. RNAcentral's name for it is "partial 16S ribosomal RNA". It matches the Rfam family "Bacterial small subunit ribosomal RNA", at positions 337 to 525 of the family's 1533-position model. The record is from RNAcentral. Lineage: Bacteria; Bacillati; Bacillota; Bacilli; Lactobacillales; Lactobacillaceae.